UACGAAGGGUGCAAACGUUGCUCGGAAUUAUUGGGCGUAAAGAGCUCGUAGGUGGUUUGGUAAGUCGGAUGUGAAAUCUCCAGGCUCAACCUGGAGGGGUCAUUCGAUACUGCCAUGACUAGAGGUCGGUAGGGGAGUGUGGAAUUCCUGGUGGAGCGGUGAAAUGCGCAGAUAUCAGGAGGAACACCCGUAGCGAAGGCGGCACUCUGGGCCGAUACUGACACUGAGGAGCGAAAGCGUGGGGAGCGAACAGG
Molecule: ribosomal RNA, 254 nt
Filed under: uncultured bacterium
Lineage: Bacteria
Description: partial 16S ribosomal RNA
Rfam family: Bacterial small subunit ribosomal RNA
Source: RNAcentral